GUGAGCCUGAUCCGCCCCUGCAAAAAAAAAAAAGUUUUGUCUGCGGAGUGAAGUUAAGCUGGUCAAGGGCGGUCCUGCGAGUUGGCAACCUUUAGAUGCAGCUCCAUGUCGACCUUACGUCAGGUGGCUUCACAGUGUCGCACCGUGCCCGUGGCGAGUCUGCCCGGUUCUGCCUUUGACUGCACGGCGAUCAAUCAUUUUGUGAUCACCUCAUUAGGCGCGAUCGUUUCAAAAGACCCAGUGGCAUUUCGUGGAAGACUAUGCCACCACCUUUUUUUCCUCAUAGCGUAAUUGCGCCAUUCCGGCGCACAGUGGGACGGAUCUCGAAAAAGGUGGACAUAAUUCAAAUUUCUACAAUAUCACAUUAACUUUUUUGUUCAUACAGGGUGAAUCUACAACCUUUAAAGCAUCCAAAACGAUUCUUCUCGCAUUUUUCAAUCAGGUGUGUCGUUUUCUAUGAGCCCUCAAAGGUCCGUCACUAGAAGCGCAAAUUACAAGUAUUUUAUAUGCUGUUUCUCACUAAACAGGGGCCUGAAAUCCAAACCAAAGUUAAGAGGGAUGCGCAAAGUUUUUUGAUGGAUUUGGACAUGUCAUAGCUUCAAUGACUUUUUAAAGAACACUUUUCUCACCAAUCGAUUUUGGAGAGGAUUUGUGACCGAGCUAUUGACUUUCAUGGGGGCAAAGAAACACUACGCAAGAUUUUGCUCGAGUUAGGGUUCAGGUAUGGGAAAGUGAGAGAGGGGCGUUUCUUAAAAGAGCGGCCAUCUAUUGCUCUUAAGCGCUACACGUUCCUCCGCAAGUACCAUGCCAACCAUACUGCUCUAGUCCCCAAGGAGGUCUUGUUCCAGGACGAAACCUGGACAUUCACAGAGGGGACUUGAAAGGUACGAAAAUGGCAAGACAGAUCAGUAGAGAGCUGCUCGUCAUCAAGUUGGUCAGGAGCACAAUACAUUGUGUCCCACAUUGAGGGACAAGCUGGAUUUGACAAAAAUGCUGGCAUGUUUGUCAAGUCUUGCAAAAACCCCAAACCAGAGGAUGACUACCAUGGCGACAUGACAGGGCCCACAUGGAACAGAUGGCUGGAUGAAAGGGUGCUUGCCAAUUUUAACAGACCAUCCUUGAAUGUGAUUGACAAUGCUCCCUACCAUACUGUCCAGGCAAGUGAA
This is a long non-coding RNA of Frankliniella occidentalis (western flower thrips), 1166 nucleotides long. RefSeq lists it as uncharacterized. The record is from RefSeq and is a predicted model, not a curated record. The transcript is spliced from 4 exons. NCBI's taxonomy places the organism in Eukaryota, Metazoa, Arthropoda, Insecta, Thysanoptera, Thripidae.